CAGUCGCCGCGGUAAUACAGAGGGUGCGAGCGUUAAUCGGAUUUACUGGGCGUAAAGCGUGCGUAGGCGGCUUCUUAAGUCGGAUGUGAAAUCCCUGAGCUUAACUUAGGAAUUGCAUUCGAUACUGGGAAGCUAGAGUAUGGGAGAGGAUGGUAGAAUUCCAGGUGUAGCGGUGAAAUGCGUAGAGAUCUGGAGGAAUACCGAUGGCGAAGGCAGCCAUCUGGCCUAAUACUGACGUUGAGGUACGAAAGCAUGGGGAGCAAACAGGAUUAGAUACCCCCGUAGUCCCUGUCUCUUAUAC
RNAcentral lists this ribosomal RNA (301 nucleotides) under uncultured bacterium. Its description in RNAcentral is "partial 16S ribosomal RNA". It matches the Rfam family "Bacterial small subunit ribosomal RNA", at positions 509 to 807 of the family's 1533-position model. The record is from RNAcentral.